RNAcentral lists this signal recognition particle RNA (117 nucleotides) under Bacillota bacterium. Its description in RNAcentral is "partial signal recognition particle sRNA large type". It matches the Rfam family "Bacterial large signal recognition particle RNA", at positions 1 to 113 of the family's 256-position model. Rfam says of the family: The signal recognition particle (SRP) is a universally conserved ribonucleoprotein involved in the co-translational targeting of proteins to membranes. Lineage: Bacteria; Bacillati; Bacillota. The record is from RNAcentral.
CCGUGCUAGAUGGGGAGGUAGCGGUGCCCUGUAACCCGCAACCCGCUAUAGCGGGAUUGAAUUCCGUUUCGCGGCGUCUUUUCGUGGGGUCUUGGCACGGACACGUGGCGUUGACGA